GCCGGGUGUGGUGGUGCAUGCCUGUAAUCCCAGCUACUCAGGAGGCUGAGGCAUGAGAAUCGCUUGAACCCAGGAGGCGGAGGUUGCAGUGAGCCGAGAUCACGCCACUGCACUCCAGCCUGGGUGACAGAGUGAGACUCUGUCUCAA
Pongo abelii (Sumatran orangutan) is the source of this 148-nucleotide unclassified non-coding RNA. It matches the Rfam family "Metazoan signal recognition particle RNA". Rfam says of the family: The signal recognition particle (SRP) is a universally conserved ribonucleoprotein. It is involved in the co-translational targeting of proteins to membranes. The record is from Ensembl. NCBI's taxonomy places the organism in Eukaryota, Metazoa, Chordata, Mammalia, Primates, Hominidae.